UGUCCCUACGGGACGCAGCAGUAGGGAAUUUUCGUCAAUGGGCGCAAGCCUGAACGAGCGAUGCCGCGUGAGUGAAGAAGGCCUUCGGGUCGUAAAGCUCUGUUGCGGGGGAAAAAAGGCAGCAUCAGGAAAUGGGCGCUGACUGAUGGUGCCCCGCCAGAAAGUCACGGCUAACUACGUGGCAGCAGCCGCGGUAAUACGUAGGUGGCGAGCGGUAUACGGAAUGAUUGGGCGUAAAGG
This 240-nucleotide ribosomal RNA is filed under the name uncultured bacterium. RNAcentral describes it as "partial 16S ribosomal RNA". It matches the Rfam family "Bacterial small subunit ribosomal RNA", at positions 335 to 566 of the family's 1533-position model. The record is from RNAcentral.